Molecule: ribosomal RNA, 301 nt
Filed under: uncultured bacterium
Lineage: Bacteria
Description: partial 16S ribosomal RNA
Rfam family: Bacterial small subunit ribosomal RNA
Source: RNAcentral
CAGUGCCGCGGUAAUACGUAGGUGGCAAGCGUUGUCCGGAAUUAUUGGGCGUAAAGGGCUCGCAGGCGGUUUCUUAAGUCUGAUGUGAAAGCCCCCGGCUCAACCGGGGAGGGUCAUUGGAAACUGGGAAACUUGAGUGCAGAAGAGGAGAGUGGAAUUCCACGUGUAGCGGUGAAAUGCGUAGAGAUGUGGAGGAACACCAGUGGCGAAGACGACUCUCUGGUCUGUAACUGACGCUGAGGAGCGAAAGCGUGGGGAGCGAACAGGAUUAGAUACCCCAGUAGUCCCUGUCUCUUAUACA